CCUACGGGGGGCAGCAGUGGGGAAUAUUGGACAAUGGGGGAAACCCUGAUCCAGCGACGCCGCGUGAGUGAAGAAGUAUUUCGGUAUGUAAAGCUCUAUCAGCAGGGAAGAAAUACUGACCUUACGGUCAGCAGACGGUACCUGAGUAAGAAGCCCCGGCUAACUACGUGCCAGCAGCCGCGGUAAUACGUAGGGGGCAAGCGUUAUCCGGAUUUACUGGGUGUAAAGGGAGCGUAGACGGCAGUGCAAGUCUGGAGUGAAAGGCGGGGGCUCAACCCCCGGACUGCUCUGGAAACUGUACGGCU
Molecule: ribosomal RNA, 305 nt
Filed under: uncultured bacterium
Lineage: Bacteria
Description: bacterial SSU rRNA
Rfam family: Bacterial small subunit ribosomal RNA
Source: RNAcentral